GACGAACGCUGGCGGCGUGCUUAACACAUGCAAGUCGAACGGAAAGGCCCUGCUUUUGUGGGGUGCUCGAGUGGCGAACGGGUGAGUAACACGUGAGUAACCUGCCCUUGACUUUGGGAUAACUUCAGGAAACUGGGGCUAAUACCGGAUAGGAGCUCCUGCUGCAUGGUGGGGGUUGGAAAGUUUCGGCGGUUGGGGAUGGACUCGCGGCUUAUCAGCUUGUUGGUGGGGUAGUGGCUUACCAAGGCUUUGACGGGUAGCCGGCCUGAGAGGGUGACCGGCCACAAUGGGACUGAGAGACGGCCCAGACUCCUACGGGAGGCAGCAGGGGGGAAUAUUGCACAAUGGGCGGAAGCCUGAUGCAGCAGCGCCGCGUGCGGGAUGACGGCCUUCGGGUUGUAAACCGCUUUCGCCUGUGACGAAGCGUGAAUGACGGUAAUGGGUAAAGAAGCACCGGCUAACUACGUG
Molecule: ribosomal RNA, 468 nt
Filed under: uncultured bacterium
Lineage: Bacteria
Description: partial 16S ribosomal RNA
Rfam family: Bacterial small subunit ribosomal RNA
Source: RNAcentral